RNAcentral lists this ribosomal RNA (500 nucleotides) under uncultured Glomeromycotina. Its description in RNAcentral is "partial small subunit ribosomal RNA". It matches the Rfam family "Eukaryotic small subunit ribosomal RNA", at positions 591 to 1092 of the family's 1831-position model. The record is from RNAcentral. Lineage: Eukaryota; Fungi; Glomeromycota.
CCAAUAGCGUAUAUUAAAGUUGUUGCAGUUAAAAAGCUCGUAGUUGAAUUUCGGGGUCAGUAGGUCGGUCGUGCCUACGGUAUGUACUGGUCUCACUGAUUCCUCCUUCUUGAAGAACCGUAAUGUCAUUAACUUGGUGUUGCGGGGAAACAGGACUGUUACUUUGAAAAAAUUAGAGUGUUUAAAGCAGGCCAACGCCUGAAUACAUUAGCAUGGAAUAAUGAAAUAGGACGUUCGAUCCUAUUUUGUUGGUUUCUAGGAUUGACGUAAUGAUUAAUAGGGAUAGUUGGGGGCAUUAGUAUUCAAUUGUCAGAGGUGAAAUUCUUGGAUUUAUUGAAGACUAACUACUGCGAAAGCAUUUGCCAAGGAUGUUUUCAUUAAUCAAGAACGAAAGUUAGGGGAUCGAAGACGAUCAGAUACCGUCGUAGUCUUAACCAUAAACUAUGCCGACUAGGGAUCGGAUGAUGUUAAUUUUUUAAUGACUCAUUCGGCGCCUUACG